GUGGCUAUAGCUCAGUUGGUAGAGCCCCGGAUUGUGAUUCCGGUUGUCGAGGGUUCAAAUCCCUUUAGCCACCCCA
This 76-nucleotide transfer RNA is filed under the name Colwellia sp. RNAcentral's name for it is "tRNA-His". It matches the Rfam family "tRNA". Rfam says of the family: Transfer RNA (tRNA) molecules are approximately 80 nucleotides in length. Their secondary structure includes four short double-helical elements and three loops (D, anti-codon, and T loops). The record is from RNAcentral. RNAcentral also lists the same sequence under 6 other names. Lineage: Bacteria; Pseudomonadati; Pseudomonadota; Gammaproteobacteria; Alteromonadales; Colwelliaceae.